Molecule: ribosomal RNA, 253 nt
Filed under: uncultured bacterium
Lineage: Bacteria
Description: partial 16S ribosomal RNA
Rfam family: Bacterial small subunit ribosomal RNA
Source: RNAcentral
UACGUAGGGUGCGAGCGUUAAUCGGAAUUACUGGGCGUAAAGCGUGCGCAGGCGGUUCUAUAAGACAGAUGUGAAAUCCCCGGGCUCAACCUGGGAAUUGCGAUGGAGACUGCAAGGCUUGAAUCUGGCAGAGGGGGGUAGAAUUCCACGUGUAGCAGUGAAAUGCGUAGAGAUGUGGAGGAACACCGAUGGCCAAGGCAGCCCCCUGGGUCAAGAUUGACGCUCAUGCACGAAAGCGUGGGGAGCAAACAGG